RNAcentral lists this transfer RNA (78 nucleotides) under Cronartium comandrae C4. RNAcentral describes it as "tRNA-Ser (AGA) (tRNA-Ser-AGA-5-1)". It matches the Rfam family "tRNA". From Rfam's summary of the family: Transfer RNA (tRNA) molecules are approximately 80 nucleotides in length. Their secondary structure includes four short double-helical elements and three loops (D, anti-codon, and T loops). The record is from RNAcentral. Lineage: Eukaryota; Fungi; Basidiomycota; Pucciniomycetes; Pucciniales; Coleosporiaceae.
GUGCACUUAGCUCAGUGGUUAGAGCACCCUUCUAGAGUGGGGGAAAAUAGGUCAUGGGUUCAAGUCCCAUAGUGCACA